CCAACAUAAAACUAAAUAUGUAGAUCUCAAGCAUUAGUGAGUCAUUUGGGUUGGACAUAAAUAAGAGAAUUUUGUCACUCAGAAAAUACACUACACUAGGAAUGGGGAGUCAGAAAGCAUAGACUAGCUAUCAUAGCUAUCAUAAUGUACAUAUGGUACAAUACUGUUUCAUGGUAGACGUGCCAUUCAAUUUUUGAGAGGCAGCCAUAUGAUGUAAAGUGGACUAUUAACUGUUGAUGUCAAAAUUAACAAUACUCUAUAUAGAAAAUGUCCACAGAUUCAUGAAUUUGAAAUGAAUUUAAAAAAUAAGUAAAAAAUGUCUGUGGGCCCAGAAUUGACCA
RNAcentral lists this long non-coding RNA (341 nucleotides) under Homo sapiens (human). RNAcentral's name for it is "non-protein coding lnc-MSH6-3:1". The record is from RNAcentral. Lineage: Eukaryota; Metazoa; Chordata; Mammalia; Primates; Hominidae.